RNAcentral lists this transfer RNA (87 nucleotides) under bacterium. RNAcentral describes it as "tRNA-Leu". It matches the Rfam family "tRNA". From Rfam's summary of the family: Transfer RNA (tRNA) molecules are approximately 80 nucleotides in length. Their secondary structure includes four short double-helical elements and three loops (D, anti-codon, and T loops). The record is from RNAcentral.
GCCGGGAUGACGGAAUUGGCAGACGUUGGGGACUUAAAAUCCCCUGGCCGCAAGGCUGUGCGGGUUCGAUUCCCGCUCCCGGCACCA